GCAGUCGUAGCUCAGCUGGUUAGAGCACCGCCCUGUCACGGCGGGGGUCGUGGGUUCAAAUCCCAUCGACUGCGCAA
Molecule: transfer RNA, 77 nt
Filed under: Candidatus Moraniibacteriota bacterium
Lineage: Bacteria; Candidatus Moraniibacteriota
Description: Candidatus Moranbacteria bacterium tRNA-Asp
Rfam family: tRNA
About the family: Transfer RNA (tRNA) molecules are approximately 80 nucleotides in length.
Source: RNAcentral